Myotis brandtii (Brandt's bat) is the source of this 72-nucleotide non-coding RNA. The record is from Rfam. NCBI's taxonomy places the organism in Eukaryota, Metazoa, Chordata, Mammalia, Chiroptera, Vespertilionidae.
GCCGGGGUGGCUCAGUGGUUGAGCGUCUACCUAUGAAGCAGGAGGUCACGGGUUCGAUUCCCGGUCAGGGCA